GAGAGUUCAAGAGUACGUGAAACCGCUUAGUAGUAAACGGAGGGACUCUCGAAGUCGGCGGUGACGGUUCAGGGUGACGGCGGGGCGGCCUGGGGGCGUGGGAUCCGCAAGGACCCUGUCCCUUUGUCAGCUCUGUCGGCGCCUGCACUUCGUUGCCGCCAUACGCGAUGAACCGUUUCUGGCGGACCGAGGGCGUGGGUGAAGUUUGUUGGCUUCGGCUUUCAAGCCCCGCGUUCCUGGCUCUGUCGGGGACGGGUAGUGGAGCGAUCUCUUAUAGAGAGUGCCCUCGCUGGCACGGUUCGCAUCUCUAUCGCGAGUAGGUCGGCGGUCCCUCCGACCCGUCUUGAAACACGGACCAU
This 359-nucleotide ribosomal RNA is filed under the name Oithona similis. RNAcentral's name for it is "partial 28S ribosomal RNA". Lineage: Eukaryota; Metazoa; Arthropoda; Copepoda; Cyclopoida; Oithonidae. The record is from RNAcentral.